Molecule: transfer RNA, 69 nt
Filed under: Cadlina koreana
Lineage: Eukaryota; Metazoa; Mollusca; Gastropoda; Nudibranchia; Chromodorididae
Description: tRNA-Ile
Source: RNAcentral
AAGUAGCCGCCGGAUGAACGGGUGUCAUUGAUGUUGACGAAUAUAAAGUUUAUUGAACUUUGCUAUUUU